RNAcentral lists this unclassified non-coding RNA (395 nucleotides) under soil metagenome. RNAcentral describes it as "partial contains 5.8S ribosomal RNA, internal transcribed spacer 2, and large subunit ribosomal RNA". The stretch from base 1 to 122 matches the Rfam family "5.8S ribosomal RNA", at positions 35 to 154 of the family's 154-position model. The record is from RNAcentral.
GAUGAAGAACGUAGCGAAAUGCGAUACUUGGUGUGAAUUGCAGAAUCCCGUGAACCAUCGAGUCUUUGAACGCAAGUUGCGCCCGAAGCCAUCAGGUUGAGGGCACGUCUGCCUGGGCGCCACAUAUCGUUGCCCAAUGCCUAUUGCAGUGCAAUAGGAAUUUCUAGGGCGAAUGAUGGCUUCCCGUGAGCGUUGUUGCCUCGCGGUUGGUUGAAAAUCGAGUCCUUGGUAGGGUGUGCCAUGGUAGAUGGUGGUCGAGUUAGAACGAUACCGAUCAUGUGCAUGCUCCCCAAAAUAUGGCCUCUAUGACCCACACGCGUCUUUUGACGCUCAUGACGAGACCUCAGGUCAGGCGGGGCUACCCGCUGAAUUUAAGCAUAUCAAUAAGCGGAGGA